GGUUGAUCCUGCCAGUAGUCAUAUGCUUGUCUCAAAGAUUAAGCCAUGCAUGUCUAAGUAUAAACAAUUCUAUACUGUGAAACUGCGAAUGGCUCAUUAAAUCAGUUAUAGUUUAUUUGAUAAUUUCUUUCUACAUGGAUAACCGUGGUAAUUCUAGAGCUAAUACAUGCAUAAAAACCCGACUCACGAAGGGUUGUAUUUAUUAGAUAAAAACCAAUGUGGGCAACCACUCCCUUGGUGAUUCAUAAUAACUUCUCGAAUCGUAUGGCCUUGAGCCGACGAUGUUUCAUUCA
Molecule: ribosomal RNA, 293 nt
Filed under: uncultured eukaryote
Lineage: Eukaryota
Description: partial 18S ribosomal RNA
Rfam family: Eukaryotic small subunit ribosomal RNA
Source: RNAcentral